Molecule: ribosomal RNA, 393 nt
Filed under: uncultured bacterium
Lineage: Bacteria
Description: partial 16S ribosomal RNA
Rfam family: Bacterial small subunit ribosomal RNA
Source: RNAcentral
AUACGGAGGAUCCGAGCGUUAUCCGGAUUUAUUGGGUUUAAAGGGUGCGCAGGCGGGUGAUUAAGUCGGCGGUGAAAUUUUUGAGCUCAACUGGGAAAGGGCCUUUGAAAAUGGUUUUCUUGAGUGUUGGUGAAGGUGGCGGAAUUUUGGGUGUAGGGGGGAAAUGUAUAGAUAUCACGAGGAACUCCGAUUGCGCAGGCAGCUUACUAAACUACUACUGACGCUCAGGCACGAAGGCGUGGGGAUCAAACAGGAUUAGAUACCCUGGUAGUCCACGCAGUAAACGAUGAUUACUAGCUGUUUGCGAUACAAUGUAGGCGGCUGAGCGAAAGCGUUAAGUAAUCCACCUGGGGAGUACGGUCGCAAGAAUGAAACUCAAAUGAAUGGACGGGG